GACAGAGGUGCCGAGCGUUAGGCGGAAUCACUGGGCUUAAAGCGUGUGUAGGCGGACUUCUAAGUACCUUGUGAAAUCCCACGGCUCAACCGUGGAACUGCUUGGUAUACUGGUCGUCUUGAGCCAUCUAGGGGCUGUCGGAACAAAUGGUGGAGCGGUGAAAUGCGUAGAUAUCGUGAGGAACACCAGAGGCGAAGGCGGCUACCUGGACAAUUGCUGACGCUCAGGCACGAAAGCGUGGGGAGCAAAAGGG
This 253-nucleotide ribosomal RNA is filed under the name uncultured bacterium. Its description in RNAcentral is "partial 16S ribosomal RNA". It matches the Rfam family "Bacterial small subunit ribosomal RNA", at positions 524 to 776 of the family's 1533-position model. The record is from RNAcentral.